RNAcentral lists this long non-coding RNA (350 nucleotides) under Sorghum bicolor (sorghum). RNAcentral's name for it is "long non-coding RNA (SBIC_LNC011189)". The record is from RNAcentral. Lineage: Eukaryota; Viridiplantae; Streptophyta; Magnoliopsida; Poales; Poaceae.
UAAUUACAGUAAUGCUAGUGUCAAGUUCGCUUUUGAAAUUUCAUUAGCAACUUGCCAUGUACUGUAUUUCAUACAUGCUGAUAUAUAUUUUCUGCACCUACAAUAUUGCAGAGUUCUGGUGGCAGGCCUGGGUUUGGACGUGGUGGCGGCAGUGGCUUUGGUGCUGGCCCGACCUCUUCUUCCAUGGAGUGAAGUUGCCCUUAGUUUGGACAUGAUGUUUCUGUUCGCGUGAUGCGUUUAAAUUUUGAAGGACAGCUAUUAUGUACUAGUAAUGUUAUCCGGAUCGGCCAGUGCUGACAAUAUGCAAAAAGAAUUGGUCCAUCGUAAUACAUUGGUUCCAGUAUAAUAGU